Molecule: ribosomal RNA, 497 nt
Filed under: uncultured bacterium
Lineage: Bacteria
Description: partial 16S ribosomal RNA
Rfam family: Bacterial small subunit ribosomal RNA
Source: RNAcentral
GACGAACGCUGGCGGCGUGCCUAAUACAUGCAAGUUGAGCGCUGAAGGUUGGUACUUGUACCAACUGGAUGAGCAGCGAACGGGUGAGUAACGCGUGGGGAAUCUGCCUUUGAGCGGGGGACAACAUUUGGAAACGAAUGCUAAUACCGCAUAAAAACUUUAAACACAAGUUUUAAGUUUGAAAGAUGCAAUUGCAUCACUCAAAGAUGAUCCCGCGUUGUAUUAGCUAGUUGGUGAGGUAAAGGCUCACCAAGGCGAUGAUACAUAGCCGACCUGAGAGGGUGAUCGGCCACAUUGGGACUGAGACACGGCCCAAACUCCUACGGGAGGCAGCAGUAGGGAAUCUUCGGCAAGGGACGAAAGUCUGAACGAGCAACGCCGCGUGAGUGAAGAAGGUUUUCGGAUCGUAAAACUCUGUUGGUAGAGAAGAACGUUGGUGAGAGUGGAAAGCUCAUCAAGUGACGGUAACUACCCAGAAAGGGACGGCUAACUACGUG